Molecule: non-coding RNA, 84 nt
Organism: Phthorimaea operculella (potato tuberworm)
Lineage: Eukaryota; Metazoa; Arthropoda; Insecta; Lepidoptera; Gelechiidae
Source: the annotation of a GenBank genome assembly
ACCGUGGUAGCACAGUUAGUAGUGGCGUUGGCUGGCUGUACAUACAUAUGCCGAAGGUAGCAAGUUCAAACCCUGCCUGCGGUG